UUCUAAUCAAAGUGAAAUUAUUCGGAAUUACAAAAUAACUUAAUACGGUUGUAUUUUUUAACAAUAUAAAUUUAUUCGUGUUCCUGAUUAGGAAGAAUUAUAAAUAUUCUAUUGAAUAAAAUCUUGACAAAUAAAGAAAGUGGAAGAAGAUCAGGAACGAGAAUCUUAAAGGAAAAUACAUUGGUUAGAACCGCAAAGAUGUCAGUAAAUCAAGCAAUGAGCCCUUCCGAAGAAACGUUUGGUUGCUACGUAUGUUACAAAGGAUACACA
Camponotus floridanus (Florida carpenter ant) is the source of this 270-nucleotide long non-coding RNA. RefSeq lists it as uncharacterized. The record is from RefSeq and is a predicted model, not a curated record. The transcript has 2 exons. Lineage: Eukaryota; Metazoa; Arthropoda; Insecta; Hymenoptera; Formicidae.